AUUGAACGCUGGCGGCAGGCCUAACACAUGCAAGUCGAGCGGAUGAAGGGAGCUUGCUCCUGGAUUCAGCGGCGGACGGGUGAGUAAUGCCUAGGAAUCUGCCUGGUAGUGUGGGAUAACGUCCGGAAACGGGCGCUAAUACCGCAUACGUCCUGAGGGAGAAAGUGGGGGAUCUUCGGACCUCACGCUAUCAGAUGAGCCUAGGUCGGAUUAGCUAGUUGGUGGGGUAAAGGCCUACCAAGGCGACGAUCGGUAACUGGUCUGAGAGGAUGAUCAGUCACACUGGAACUGAGACACGGUCCCGACUCCUACGGGAGGCAGCAGUGGGGAAUAUUAGACAAUGGGCGAAAGCCUGAUCCAGCCAUGCCGCGUGUGUGAAGAAGGUCUUCGGAUUGUAAAGCACUUUAAGUUGGGAGGAAGGGCAGUAAGUUAAUACCUUGCUGUUUUGACGGUACCAACAGAAUAAGCACCGGCUAACUUCGUG
This 484-nucleotide ribosomal RNA is filed under the name uncultured bacterium. RNAcentral describes it as "partial 16S ribosomal RNA". It matches the Rfam family "Bacterial small subunit ribosomal RNA", at positions 30 to 507 of the family's 1533-position model. The record is from RNAcentral.